RNAcentral lists this signal recognition particle RNA (271 nucleotides) under Carlito syrichta (Philippine tarsier). RNAcentral describes it as "Metazoan signal recognition particle RNA (ENSTSYG00000037362.1)". It matches the Rfam family "Metazoan signal recognition particle RNA". Rfam says of the family: The signal recognition particle (SRP) is a universally conserved ribonucleoprotein. It is involved in the co-translational targeting of proteins to membranes. The eukaryotic SRP consists of a 300-nucleotide 7S RNA and six proteins: SRPs 72, 68, 54, 19, 14, and 9. Lineage: Eukaryota; Metazoa; Chordata; Mammalia; Primates; Tarsiidae. The record is from Rfam by way of RNAcentral.
GCCGGGAGUGGUGGUGUGCAUCUAUAGUCCCAGCUACCUGGGAGGAUCAUUGAGCCCAAGAGUUCUGGGCUGUAGUGCCCUAUGCUGAUUGAGUGUCCAUGUUAGGCUCAGCAUCAAUAUGGUGACCUCUCAGGAGCAGGGAACCACCAGGUUGCCUAAGGAAGGGUGAACAGGCCCUGGUUGGAAACAGAGCAGGUCAAAGCUCCCGUGCUGAUCAGUAGUGGCAUAAUGCCAGGGAAUAACCACAACGUUUUAGCCUGGGCAACAUAGU